AUUGAACGCUGGCGGCAUGCCUUACACAUGCAAGUCGAACGGCAGCACGGGAGCAAUCCUGGUGGCGAGUGGCGAACGGGUGAGUAAUAUAUCGGAACGUGCCCAGUCGUGGGGAUAACGUAGCGAAAGCUACGCUAAUACCGCAUACGAUCUAUGGAUGAAAGCGGGGGAUCGCAAGACCUCGCGCGAUUGGAGCGGCCGAUAUCAGAUUAGGUAGUUGGUGGGGUAAAGGCUCACCAAGCCAACGAUCUGUAGCUGGUCUGAGAGGACGACCAGCCACACUGGAACUGAGACACGGCCCAGACUCCUACGGGAGGCAGCAGUGGGGAAUUUUGGACAAUGGGCGCAAGCCUGAUCCAGCAAUGCCGCGUGCAGGAUGAAGGCC
This 385-nucleotide ribosomal RNA is filed under the name uncultured bacterium. Its description in RNAcentral is "bacterial SSU rRNA". It matches the Rfam family "Bacterial small subunit ribosomal RNA", at positions 30 to 416 of the family's 1533-position model. The record is from RNAcentral.